AGAGUCUCUCAAUUCCAACUCUCUCUCUCUCUAAUCAUCCUUGGAAUUCCCUUUGUCUUCCUCUCUCACUCAUCAAACCUUCUCAAUCGCCCCGCCCAACCAUCAUAUGUAUUUAUACAUACACCCAAAGCGAUCACACAUCAUCAAGAAUUAUACAUGCUGUUUGGAUUUUCCUUUGAAUGAAUGAAGAGAAAAUCAUUAUACCAAAUUCCAACCCACAAAUAUUGAUUUUGUAGCAGUUGAAGAAAAUUAGAAAAUGACGGAGCUUUGAUAAUUAAGCUUUCUCUUUCUUAUCAUUCACGAACAAACUUGUUUCAUCAUUCGUAUGAUCAACAAACAAAGUAGACUAACUUAGGCUUUGUUUGUUUUGAUGUGUCAUUUAGAUCUCAUGGUGGAGACUAAUUAAGCAACUUUGUGAAAUCCGCCAAACAACUCAUCUAUGAGUCCCUUUCUUUCUCUUAAUUUCGAUCCUUAAUCUUUUGUGAAAUUAUUAGAAUUCUCUGUUCCGCAUAAUCUGGUGGGAAAUGACUGAAAAUCCAAAGAUGGUAAGCAUAGUUUUUCCCAGCUUUCUUUUCUUCUUUAUGCGGGUAUUUUUUUUUUUUUUUCUCCCUCGAAAUUCUUGUGUUGAUAAAACACCAUAUCUUUAGACACAAACGUAACCGUCUAUAAUUUUUUUUUUUAAUUAUUAUUUAUUUUAGGAAACAAUGUUCUCUCAUAAUCUAAGAGCAAAUUGUGAAGCUGGUGAGCUUUCUGAUCAUGUAAAUGGAUUGCAAUCCACAACCAUUAAAUCUAAUCCUUUGUGUUAGAUAUUGAACGCUUAGAGAAGGAUAUUAAUGCAAAUUCAAGAAUUAAAGUAAGUUUUUUCUUUCUUAAUUUGAUCAUUUCUGGGAUUAUGCCUUUAUUCCUUCUCUGUACUUUGGCUUUCUUUUUGUUUAGAUUUCCAAAAACAAACUAUCUAUGUGCCAUAAAAAAAGGGCUACUCUUUCUGUUUAUGUGCGCGCUUUUGGAUGAUAAGUUGCAGAGAAGCAUUUCAAGAAAAGGAACAUUCAGAGGAGUCGAGAAGAAAAAUACAGCCAACGAGAAAUACAUUAGUGUCAUUGCAACUUCCACGAGAGGUAACCGUUACUCCUUUUUCUCUUUUGUCAUUUUUUGUCAUCUCAAAAUCAUAUGUUUUUGCGUUAGAUUUACACCUAAUGUCCAGUCGAAGUAGUCUAUUUUAUCCAAUUAUGAGAAAGUUCCAAUAAAAAUGGCCUCCAAGUUCAUGUAUAUUUGUGUUUCUUGGUGCCUAUGGCAUGGUAGAGGCCAAAACCUGCUUAGGUCACAAUCGAGACACCAUUAAGUAGCUUGUGUACUAUCUUGUAUUCACGUUCUUAAUAUCAUCUAAACAGAGUGUCUGAACAUUAUAUGAUGAUGAUUUCAAUUAUUAUCGGAUAUUGAUCCAAAUGACAGGUGAUGGGCAGCUAUAAAUCAUUAAAAUUUAAUCAAUCAGCCCCCACGCACCUACCCACAUCCUCUGUUUCUUAUGGUACUGUCAUGUUUCUGCAUUAUCACUCGAUGAAUUAGGACAUGGUUAGUAAAUUGAAUACUUAAUCCGAGCGUGGAUUUCUUAAAUUUUCUAAGUGAUUGCGAGGAGACUUGAACGCUAAACUAAGCAGCCGAGGAACACAUUAUGAUGUAAUUUUAAUUUGGUUCGAUAUCUAGGUUAUUAGAUAGGCACUGCAAUUAGCAUUUAAUGAUAUUGAUGAUUUCUCAAUCAAGAUCUGUUACUCGGUAUCCAAUUGACAAUCAAUGAAUUCUAGAUUUAUUAAAUUCUCGAGUAUCUUUAAAAUCAACAUGUUGUUAAGGCUCUUUUUGUUCACCUUAAGUACUUAAUUCAGCUUCACUCAGGGUCGGCCUUAGGCCUAGGCCAAGUCUUUGUUUAAAAUAUAAAUAUAUUAUUUAUUUAAACAUUUAAAUAUUUUUAUGUUUGAAAAAAUUUACGUUUAAAGGCCUCAUAAUGAUGAGUCCCCUAAGGCCUCAAAAUUCUUGGGGCCGACCCUAGCUGCAUUGUAAACUUUGAUUCAAUGUACACCUCUUCUAGCUUAAUCCUUUAGUAAGAUCAUCAGCAAAGAAAAGUUUAAAGUAUAAACACAUAUUUCUGUCUCAUUUCUUUUUGUUCAAUGCGCAAUUGGAUACAUAUAAUUUGCAUUAUGGGAAAAUUUGGGUAAUGGCAAGCUAACAUAUUCUGCAUGGUAUCCAAACUGCAGCUGCUUUACUUGGUGGUGGCACGCCGGAAAAGCCCCUAAUUGUGGCUAUGGGCGGAUGCGAUAAUUUCACCAGCCCGCCAGUUCACAAUCAGAUCACUAUCAUGGGAAACCCUGCUGUCGAAAGCAAAUUUGGUGGCAAAAUAUUCAGUUUCGGAAGGUCUUCUCCUUCAUGGACAAUUGACCCCAGAAGGAUACUUCUCUUCUUCGCAACUCUGUAAGUUUGUUCUUCAUUUCUUUUCAGCACCACCUAAGACAACUCACAUUUUGCAGAGGUUCUCAUUUUCUACAGGUCAAGCAUGGGGACCAUAUUGCUGAUCUAUUGCACCUUACACAUGAGCAAACACAACGGGGAUUACAAUGCCCUCAAUUGAUAAUUAUUAGCCUCCCAGUUAGAUGUGGGCAAAACUCGACCGAACCCGCUCAAACUGCCCAAACCUACCCAACCCGGUUGAGGGGGCAAUACCCGACCGAACCUACUCAAACAGCCCAACCCGACCGGGUUGGGUCGGUUUUUUUUUUUUUUAAGUGGGUUUCGGUUUUUUGAUUGUGUAGGUGGGUCGGGUUGGGUUGUGGGUUAACUCAUAAAAACCGACCCAACCCGCCUAUUUAAAAAGAAAAAAAGAAAGGAAAGGAAAAGAGAAAUAAAUUGCCUAAACGUAAAAUCGCUAUUUUCAAGAUUUAAAGUUUCAUAAAAUUAUAACAAGAAUCCCAUUAUAAUUUAUAAUAGACAAAUUUUUAUAUUGAAUUUCUGAAAUCACAAUAUAUAACUCAAUACUUCAAUUAGGUCUUCCCGUAAUCUCUAUCUCUUAGGAUAAUUAAGUUUUGUACUGAUUUACAAAAGUAUCUUGUAGAAUGAUUAUAUGAAUUAUGGACAUAAAUGUUAAAGAAAAAAUAAAUUUUAAGAUUCUAUAUAGAGUCUUGAUCUAACUUCUAAAUAAAUCGAUUUCUCACAUUUCAAAUAAGCUUGUGAAGCAUAAUUUUCUUGUUAUUGCCAAAAACUAUUAAAGAUUUGAGAUAAAUAAUAAUUAAGAAGUUAAAUUCGAAAAAAAAUAAAAAUUUGGCUACCAGCAGAACCAUCUAUCUUGCUUUUUGGUUUGGUAUCAAUUUAAUAAGUAUUGUUGUCUGUUGUGCAAACUUGUUUUGUUAAUCUAGGUUUGUUGAUGAGCCUGUAGAUCCGAAACAGGAACUUUUGAAGAGCAAUGCAAGGCACCAUGCACUCGACCACUCAAAGAAUAUCAAGUUAAUAAACCUUCCUUUUUUGUUUUUUCUAAUUUAAUGUCUACUUCUCCAUUUUUCAAUUUUCCUACCUUUUGUGUUCUUUUCAACUAAUACUUAAUAUUGCUGAAGCCUAAAUGAAAUGUUUUAUACAUUUUACAGUUUUUAGUUUUUUGUUCGCUCUUCUUUUUGUUUGAUUAUAUGGUAAUAAAUUACAAUUUGUCCAACCCAACCGAUACUUGAUUGGGUUGGGUUGGUUUGAUUUUAGAUCAACAAAAACCGACCUAACCCAAUCCACGCCCACCACUACUCCCAGUCCCCCACUUUUACUUCUUAGAGGGCUUCAUUAAGAGAUGGUUAUAAUAUUUGGCUGCUUUCGCUACAAACAGAGUUACACCGACCUUCCAUUGGCAUGGGCAUCAAAUUUGGCAGAUUUCACUUUUUUCCGCCUAACUAAUUUUUUUGCUAGUAUAAUAUUUGAACAGGACAACAGCAGAUAACACUAAGACAAAGAACACAAGAUAUCUAUACCUUUUACAUAGGAUAUGGUGCACUAAUUUGAUGUGAAAGACUUAUGAUCCAGUAAAUUCUUCCGUUGAAAAAAGUGUACAUCUAUAUUCUACAAACGAGGAUCUAAUUAUUUCACAAAAGGAACCUUGCAAGUCCCACUUUAUAGCCAAAACAUUUGACAUCGUUUUGCACUUGUUGUCUGUAUUCUCUGAAGCUAAAUUUUCUAUAGGCGGAAGGUUCAACACAGCUCUGUAUAACAGUGUCAUAAGAUGGACACAGGAAGUAUGCAGUCGAGAACCUCUCCUGUAGCUUAUUAGCCACAACCCGGUGGUGAACGCUUUUAUAUACAUUGUUGCUCCAAACCUGCAUUCAUUUUCAGACAUUAUUAAGCUACUAAAAUGAAAAAGAGUGUUACUAUUUAGCACCAAAAUCCUGCUAUGCGUACAGGAAAAGAGCUGCCAGGCCUUUUACAAGGAGCACAUGGCAGUUUUUGACUGAAAACCACCUAGGGAUGGCAAAAAAGCCCCGAACCCACCCCAUGAAGAUAAAGAAAAAAAUAAAAAUAAUUUUAUUUCUAGAAAAUUUAUCGGUUGAAGACCCAUUUUAAAUUUGUAUUUUAUUUUCUAAUUAUAAUAUAACUCGAAAUUUUAAAAAUGUAAAAAAUAAAAAAAUAAAUGGGGCAAAAAGUUGCCCCGCCCGCCCCCGCGGGGCGCGGUGGGAUUUUAGAGAGACGGGGCGGGAGCGUCCGUACCCGCCCCAUUGCCAUCUGUUUACUAUCGUGAUUAUGUCUAACAUCGGUUUAGGUGACAGUUUUUUACAGGGAGUAGGCAAAAACAAAAGCCACUAUUGGUGUGUUUAGCAUCAGUCUAUAUGACAACACUAAUGGCAUUAAAUUAGAGGUCUAAUUAAAUAAAAUGAAUUAUGGCCCACUUCAUAAGAGCUUUGAUAUACUGACAUCUAGACUAACGUACAAUAUCAUCGGUGUCAAACCAUUUCCCAUCUUUAACUAAUUGCAAGCCUCCAACGUGAUCUUGGUGCAAUAUUGUGAGAAAAUCGCUAUCAGUGUGUACCAUCAGCCCAAACAUUUGAGUUGAAAUUUGGCACACUGGAUAUCUGUUCAUUCGAAUAAAGCAAGUUUUUGCGAACACGUUUCUUUGAAGAAUGUUGUGUAAUUUUGACCCAAUUUCUUCACUAAAAUUACCGACACCUAGACUAAUGUACAAUAUCAACGGUGAUAGAUACAUUAUUCAAUAAAAAAAAGUAGGCAUGCAAAGUACAAAGCCUUGGUGGCGGACGGUGAGAUUUUGGCAAAAAAACUGUAAUUUAGUAGCUCAAACGAGCACAUUUUUUAUCAUUUCAUUAAAUGAUAAAAUAUACCUGAAAUAAAUCUCCGAUGUUGAUAAUGAGAGCCUGUGGAUUGGGUUUAACAGCAAUCCAUUUCCCAUCUUUGACUAAUUGCAAGCCUCCAAUGUGAUCUUGGUGCAAUAUUGUGAGGAAAUCGCUAUCAGUGUGUGGCAUUAGGCCAAACAUUUGAGUUGAAAUUGGGCAUGUUGGAUAUCUGUUCAUUCGAAUAAAACAAGUGCUUUGCAAACACGUUUCUUUGAAGAAUGUUGAGUAAUUUUGACCCAAUUUCUCCACUAAAAUUUCUGCCAACUUUUGUGCUAGCUCAGACACUUUUGCCGCAAAUUGUUCCAUUGUUGAUCUGAAUUCAGUAAAAGGAUGGGAUCUUAAUACCAAGUUUCGCUCUCAUCACAUAACCUUUUAAAAUUUUAUUGUUGAUACUUAAAAUAUUGAUCAACAAAUUCUUCUUACCUAUUCAGGAUUUUCUCCUCAUAAUCUCAUUAUUCUACUGCUCAAUGUGAAGCAAAAAGAGAAAUGACUAUCUGGAAUGAAGCUAUUCAAAUUCAAUAUACCAUUCUUCAUUUUAGGUAUGCCUAUUUAUAUAUAUCUAUUCAGCUAUUGAGGGCAAAUGAGUCUUUUUAGUUGAUGACAUGUGGCUUUCAUUGAUUGACUGACUUUCAACUAACUCUAUUAUCUAUUCACGUUUUAUUCACCAACUUAAUCCUUACGUUUUUGUUCAAGUAUAUUGGCUUGCAUUAUAUAUCUAAGAUCGCUUACGAGGUUACCCCUUAUGAAUGCUUUUUAAGUUUAUUUUGAGUUUGCAUAUAUUUUUGACUUCUUCAAGCACGCUUAGAUAAAUGUUUCAUGUAUAACACUGAUGUGAUGGAGAAAGAAAGAAACUUUUUUGCUCAUGAUUUGAGGCUUGUGAAUUACCUGAGUGUGCAGAGGCCACCAGAACCCAAUAUAUCACUCAAAGACACAUGAUAAGCUUCCGACCAAGACAGCUGCCUCAGGUAAUUCGGUGAUGGCGUCCCCCAAGUAUAACUCCCCAUCGAGAACUUGGGAUCAUUGCCAUUUGUCUUCUCAUUAAACGGCUUCUUAAAAGCCUUCAUUUGUUCUGUUCUCAUUUUCUCCAAUACUUGGCUGGAAAUUCCGUGGUUUACGACUUGGAAAAAGCCCCAUUCUCGGGAAGCUUUAGCUAUCUGUCUCUUGCAUGCUUCUCUCUCGGAAUCUCCGAGGUUUAACAUGUUGAGAUCAAUCAGUGGGAGUUCGCAUUCAUCAACUAAAAGCUCCUCAGAACUCUUUGCUAAUUCUACUUCAGUCAAACUGUCGAAGAGGUUUUUAUAUUUUUCUUGAAAUGGUGGAUCGGGGGAUUCUUCUCCCAUUCUUAUAGGCUGAAGAAGGAAAAAUCUGUUGCUGAACCCAAACAUUAAGAAGAAAUAUAUAUUAGUAAGGUGAAAGUCGGUAUACCAUAUUCUAUUGAAAUGGACAACUCACAGUUAAUUACCAAGCCUAGGAUGAAAGGUCAUAUUUUGCAAUAGCUCCAUUUAUUUUUCAUUUAUAAAGAUCAUUAUAUGAAAACAAAAUGUAAAUUAAUACAGAUAGGUAGUAAGCAAGUGUAUGCACCUAAAGAUGAAGAACUGUUGAAUUUAAACACUAAAGAAAUAGAAUUUUAUUGAUGAAUGGACUUUGCACAAUAUUGGGUACAUGCCAAAAUCACUGACCACCUUAUAAUAUAUAUAGCCAUGAAUGGCGGUGGGACUGUCGAUAGCAAGCAUUCUAGUUCCCCGCACGAAACAAACAAGAUUCCUUGAAGAUUAAGAAAAUGAUCUUAUCUGAUACUAAAAAUGAUGCUCCCAGGAUUAACCACAGAAUAAAAAGAAAGAAAGGCAGAAGAAUAUCUAAAGGAGCAGUAAUCUUUGUUGACUUACAUAGAAAAAAAUAGCUUUUGAGUUGCCCUGGAAGAUUGGAAGCUAGAUAUUCAAAGCGUAAAGUGCACCAGGCACAAGGCAUUUCAGUUUUGAAUUUCAGGGAGAUAGAUGGAGAUCAUGUGAUUUAAGCCCAUAUUUAUGUAGAAUACAUCAUUUUUCGGAGAAUAUAUGGUCGAAAAAUAAGAAAAAAAAAUUGAGUUUAUAUGUAAAUAUAUAUAUUUUUUUUUUAAAUGAGUAAUAAAAAAAUAUUAGUUUUUAUAGAAUGGCUCAAACAGGGGCUUGGGAAAGAAUAAUGCUAUAGACUCGGGAUCCUUAGACGUCAAGUCAAUUGACAAGAAUUUUAUUUAUAAUGGCAAGUCAAUGAAUAUUAUUUAGCUUAUGAGUCUGUUUGGUACAGAUUAAAAUUUAAUUUAAUUUAAGUUAAAGUCAAACAAUUAAUAUUAACCACAUCUUUUAUUGAUCCCACAACUUUUCAAUCAUAGGUUUCAAAAAUUUCUAUCAAAAUUUACUAAAAAAUCUAAUUUUAAUCAUCAACAAACACCCUCUAUGUUUGAUAUGGAUUAAAAUUUGGAUAAAUAUCUAAUACAAAUUCAAAAAUUAAAUGUAACCACAUAUUUCAUAAAAUUCACAAUUUUUUAACCUAUAUUUCAUCAAAUUUUAUCAAAAUUUACUAAAAAAAUUGAUUUUUAACUACAUCAAAUAGGGUCUUAAUUAUAUCAAAACUCAUGAAUAUGAUAGUAGUCUAGAUAAAUAACAUUACAAUUUAAAAAAGAACACGUUUAUUAAAAUCAACAAAAUAUUUUGUAUUUACAUGGGUAUCGUAUUUCCUUUAAUCUUUUCAAGGAAACGUAAGAUAUUUUAACUUUGUAUUACGUUUCCAUAUUUUCCAUAUACACGACAAAUAAAAAUAUUCAAAUAGUGUGAAGUUCAUAAGGAUGGAGAAGGGUCGUUCUAUCAAAUUCGAUGGGUUCCAUGUAUCUUUUACUUUUUUAAGACAUGACAUAGUUGCUUUCAUUUUCGAUGUAUUGAAAAAAUAAUAAUAAUAAUAAAUAAAAUGUUCCAUGUAAGUUUGGUGAGAUCGUCACACCUUUGAAUAAAGUAUUUUAAAGUUUAUGAAAAUUAAGUAAUAUCAUGUAGUGCAAUUAGUGUUUAGCGCAUGUUUAGAUGGAAUCAUAUCACUGUGCUUAUAAAAUCAUUCUGCCGUAACUUUAAAAAUAAAAAUAAAAAUAAAAAACGAGAAAGUGGACUCUGUUAAGAAUAAAGCUUCAAGUAUGGAAAAAAAUUAACAGAAUAUGUAUCGAUGCUGACAUGGCAAAAUAUGACUGGACUCUCUUUUCUUUUUUCCCAUCUUCCAAUGAUAUUGUGGCAUGUGUUGUCUGCAAGGAUUUUCUGUCAAAAAAUUCUAUACUCGUAGCAUGAUUCUUUUGUUAAUAGUGGAAACUCAAACUCUUGUAUGUUAAUUUAUAUCAUAUAUUCAAUCGAUGUAAGAUUUAUUAUUUAACGUUUAUUGAAAAGAUAACUUGUUUGAAAAUAUCAAUAUUGAAAUUUGUGUACUCAUUCAAAUCUUAGUCAAAUCGAAAGAAUCGUUCGAAUUUAAUGAACUCCAAUACUAUAUUAAUACUUGAUGUUCUAUCUCAAAAAUGUCAACUUUAUUAAGAUCAAUAAAUUUAACCUUUAUAUACUAAAUAUAUCUAAUUUGAAAUUUAUCCUAUAACUUAAUGAAGUCCAUAAAGUAUCAUGUCUAGAUCAUCUUCACCUGGUUCAUUCCCAUUUAAUAUUUUUAUUUAUAAUAUGAAGUAGAUAUUCGCCCGUGUGUACCCUUAAGAAACAGCUUAAACAGUACUGGUUGUAGUAGUUGAAUUUAAUUGGUUCUUGUUCUUUCAAUCUCUCUAAAGAAAAUAAUGUUGUUUUGCCAAAAAGAUGUCGACAAAUGCCUUAACAUAAUGGGUGUCUAACAAGAUAUGAUUGAAAAAUAAAAUAUGACUGUAUUUUAAACAAUCCAAUGAUAAAAUAUCAUGAGAGAUUUUGUCAACCUCUCUAGCACCAUAACAUCCAUUUAAUGGGGCGUGGUUCACGUGUACUGCUCCAACGCCCUUAUGAGGUAGUGAUGAGUUUCACGCGCUGUAAGCCCGGCCCAAGAGAUAGUCGGACUUGUUGAAAAUCUGGCAGUUAUUAAUGGCUCUAAAAGAAAGUUGAACGGAGUAGGCUUUGUAGAAAGGGGAAGAACCUUUCCGGAGAGGUGUGGUUCUUAGGGGGGAAGAGCUAGUAGGAGCCAUCCCAUCUCAAUAGCGUAUAUUUGGAGCUCAAUAUGAAAUUUUAUUUUCUUGCAAGACCCGUUCGGAUAAGGGAAAAUUCCAGAGAUUGCUUCAAAGUAAGCAAGCAUGUGUACUACUCAUUUGAAAAGUACAUUUGACCUUUCUCUAAUCAUAUUCUUCAAAAAUCACAAUUAAAAACUCAUUUAAAAAGAAAAAAAAAAUUAGGGCUCAGACAUAGGCUUAGUAACUAUGAUGAAUAACAACAAUUGUUGACACUCGAUAGUAGAAUCUACACAUGGCUAUGGAUUAUGAAACAAAUAGCUCCUAUUUGAGGUAGAUCAAAAUCAAAUUUACGGUAGAUUUUAAUCUACACUAAAUAGGGACAUAAUGUGAUUCAAGUGUGCAAAAUGCACAGUUCAAUAAAACUUGAUGGAUUAUCAAGGGUGACCAUCAAUCAUCAAUCAUUCGAAUGUUAAAGCUCAAAAAUUCUAUCAAUUUAUCGAACGUGUGCAAAAUGUGUGAGAUGAAACCAACCAAUAGUUUUGCUCGAGAGUGACAAAACUUGCUCUUUGAAAUAGUAGGAAUAGCUAACACGGCUCUUGAGGGAAUCUUAGAUGACAUCCAAUAGACCACACAAUUAAUUCCUACCUCCAUUUAAUUAUAAUAAUUUGAGAAAGCUGAAAGUCAAGUCAUUCUUGAUUGGUCAAUCUACUUUGAGGGGAUAAUAACAAUGAAAAUACUACACAAUAAAAUAUGUUUGCAAGCAAAAUUUUGCAGCACUGAAUUUUUGUGGUUUGAGGGAGAGUGUUUUUGCACAAACUAGUAAAGAACCAAAGCAAAAAUACAAGUUGUUAAGUUCUUUCUUUGUUUAUCUUAAAAAGUUGAUAAAAAAAAUUAAGUUAAAGUUUCUAUCGAACUCACAACUUUUAUCAAUUUUUCAAUCACACAUUUUAUUAAUUUUUAUCAAAAUUUACUAAAAAUCUUAUGUUUAACGAUACCAAACAACAGCUAAAGAGGCUUUUAAAACCUCGCAACCCUAUUAUGCCUAAACUAUAUGUAUAUUUCAAGUAAAGAAAUUCGGUAAAUUGGGACCAUUGUUCCCAACUUUUACCUUCUUUGGCAUUUCUAUUCCUAAUCUUUGUUUCUUGACACGCAUAUCCUCGAUCUUUAAUAAAUUAAUAGUCAUUGCCUCGAUAAUCGUUUUUGUUGUCUAAACUUGCCGUUAAUAUGGCUUGAAUUUCCAAUUUUGCCCUUAUGUAUAUGUAAACAAGGAAAAAAAAUACAAAAAUAACAAAGGAAAAAUUAGAAUAUUGAUCAUCCUCAUCAUUCUAGUCUAGAGCUAGAGAUGGCAGCGGGGCGGGACGGGACAGUCGUUUGCCCCGUUUGCUUUUAAAAAAAAAUAAACAAAUAAAGUUAUGCUAGGUGCAUUUUCAAUCAAGAACCCACAUCUAGUGAAAAUGUCGGGGAACGGAAACUUUAUAUAGUCGAGACCUUUGGAACCUCCACGGGGAAUUGAUGAAUCUCAUCAAUCCAUGGGCUCUUCUCCUUUGCNNNNNNNNNNNNNNNNNNNNNNNNNNNNNNNNNNNNNNNNNNNNNNNNNNNNNNNNNNNNNNNNNNNNNNNNNNNNNNNNNNNNNNNNNNNNNNNNNNNNNNNNNNNNNNNNNNNNNNNNNNNNNNNNNNNNNNNNNNNNNNNNNNNNNNNNNNNNNNNNNNNNNNNNNNNNNNNNNNNNNNNNNNNNNNNNNNNNNNNNNNNNNNNNNNNNNNNNNNNNNNNNNNNNNNNNNNNNNNNNNNNNNNNNNNNNNNNNNNNNNNNNNNNNNNNNNNNNNNNNNNNNNNNNNNNNNNNNNNNNNNNNNNNNNNNNNNNNNNNNNNNNNNNNNNNNNNNNNNNNNNNNNNNNNNNNNNNNNNNNNNNNNNNNNNNNNNNNNNNNNNNNNNNNNNNNNNNNNNNNNNNNNNNNNNNNNNNNNNNNNNNNNNNNNNNNNNNNNNNNNNNNNNNNNNNNNNNNNNNNNNNNNNNNNNNNNNNNNNNNNNNNNNNNNNNNNNNNNNNNNNNNNNNNNNNNNNNNNNNNNNNNNNNNNNNNNNNNNNNNNNNNNNNNNNNNNNNNNNNNNNNNNNNNNNNNNNNNNNNNNNNNNNNNNNNNNNNNNNNNNNNNNNNNNNNNNNNNNNNNNNNNNNNNNNNNNNNNNNNNNNNNNNNNNNNNNNNNNNNNNNNNNNNNNNNNNNNNNNNNNNNNNNNNNNNNNNNNNNNNNNNNNNNNNNNNNNNNNNNNNNNNNNNNNNNNNNNNNNNNNNNNNNNNNNNNNNNNNNNNNNNNNNNNNNNNNNNNNNNNNNNNNNNNNNNNNNNNNNNNNNNNNNNNNNNNNNNNNNNNNNNNNNNNNNNNNNNNNNNNNNNNNNNNNNNNNNNNNNNNNNNNNNNNNNNNNNNNNNNNNNNNNNNNNNNNNNNNNNNNNNNNNNNNNNNNNNNNNNNNNNNNNNNNNNNNNNNNNNNNNNNNNNNNNNNNNNNNNNNNNNNNNNNNNNNNNNNNNNNNNNNNNNNNNNNNNNNNNNNNNNNNNNNNNNNNNNNNNNNNNNNNNNNNNNNNNNNNNNNNNNNNNNNNNNNNNNNNNNNNNNNNNNNNNNNNNNNNNNNNNNNNNNNNNNNNNNNNNNNNNNNNNNNNNNNNNNNNNNNNNNNNNNNNNNNNNNNNNNNNNNNNNNNNNNNNNNNNNNNNNNNNNNNNNNNNNNNNNNNNNNNNNNNNNNNNNNNNNNNNNNNNNNNNNNNNNNNNNNNNNNNNNNNNNNNNNNNNNNNNNNNNNNNNNNNNNNNNNNNNNNNNNNNNNNNNNNNNNNNNNNNNNNNNNNNNNNNNNUAUAUAUAUAUAUAUAUAUAUAUAUAUAUAUCUUUAAUGAGUUUUGGGGAAUAAUUAAGACUAUUAAUGAGAUAUCACAGUCGUUGAUUGGUGAUCUUCUAACUGAAUCUAUUAAUCCUUCAUGUUUUACUCACUAGUCCCCAUAUUUCUAGUUCAUUGUUUGAGAAGUCAUGUUUCAGUUUUAUACUCUUAUAGAUGUGUGUUUUGAUAAUGAUUUCUACAGAUGUAUAAUAGUUGGUGAAAUCAAUUAAACGUGCUUAUGCUUGAUGUUGAUUAUAAACCAUUAUCAUGAGCUUGCAAAUGAUUUGGUUGACUUUAAAAACGUGCGCUGAAAUGGGUAAGGGUUAGCCUUUAAUCCUCUGCAAAUUUUAAUUGAUAACAAAUAGUCCCUGAAAUUCAAGUUUAAUCAUUUAUGUUAAGUUUAGGAAAUUAUUGUUUAAUUUCUAUAUUAUGCAAACCUAAAAAUGUUGUUGAUCAUAGUACCUAGAAAAUUAACAUUCCCUAUUGUUCAUCAACAACCUUGUCACUUUUACAUUCUCUCUUACAUUUUUCUUUACACUCUUCCACCACGACAAUAUCUAUACUUUCGAUUUUGAACUCAUCCAUCACCUCACUACGCAGAUUUCCUUCACAUAAGGGGGAAUGUCAAUUAAUGCAAAUCAUCAAGCAAGAUGUACAUAUAGCAUUAUUCUUUCAUCAAUGCAAAUCCUCCCAAAAACAUGAGCAAUAAAAAAGAAGAGAGAUAAAGAAGCAAUCUAAUCAUGGUUUAUUUUUAUUUAUUUAUUUAUUUUUAUUUGGGGGGGGGGGGGGGGGGAAUCAAUGAUUUGACCCAUUGUUUUGGUUGUGAUUUUUUUCGAAUAGAUUUUAUGAAAAUGAAUUUUAAGAAUAUGUCUGAUUGAAACAUAUGAAAAAAUUAUGAAUUUAAAUAUAAAAUUAUUUUGUAGGGACAAUUUACAAUUCAAAAUUAGUUUUAAAAAAUUAAAUCGAACGGCGGAGAAAUAUAGCCCAUGUUUGUUCCUAUUUUUUAAAAUUCAAUUUCCCAGAAAUUAAUUUUUAUUCAUUUAAUUUCUCAAUAAAAUGAUUUUAUACGAUGGACCCAUAAUUUAUUUAAUUUUUUUUUUUACUUUAUAAUCACACAUUCUUAAAAAAAGAAAAAGGGGGGCGGGGGGCGGGGGGGGNNNNNNNNNNNNNNNNNNNNNNNNNNNNNNNNNNNNNNNNNNNNNNNNNNNNNNNNNNNNNNNNNNNNNNNNNNNNNNNNNNNNNNNNNNNNNNNNNNNAUUAACGUAUCUAAUAAUGUGGGUCCCAAAAUUAAAUAUCCAAAGCAUGUGAGUUUAUCUACACAAAGGUAUAGAAACUUUAGUUUAAUGGGCCACUUUCCUAUUCGGCCGACAUACGUACAUUCCCUAGAUACAUUUUGUAUACUUAUACCUAUACUAUAUAGUAUGCACAUAGUAGAAUACGAGACUUUUUAGGGUUUUAUAUAAAUGACAGUCAAGUAAUGAUAAAUUGAAUUGUAUAAAACAUUAUGAGCGAAAAAAAUAAAAAUAGAAGGAUCAUACAAUAAAUGACAUGUUAGAUUGAUGGACUCGACGAUGCUACACAAUUAAAAAAUAUAUAUUUAUCUUUUCAAUAAUGAUAUUUAAGUCAAUAUAGCAUACAAACAUUUGGAGGAGGGAUAUGACAUGACAUCUAAUUAUAAAAUAUAGUCUGGGAAACUUAAAGACGAGAUGUAGGGAGCAAAGAAGUAUUAAAAAAAAGAAUAAUGCUGGGAGUACAGAAUGAUUUUUACAGAGGUUUUACAGAAACUUGAAAACAAAAAGAAACGAACAAAACGUGAGAUAAAUUGGGGACCCGCAUUACAUUUCCCCAUCUCCACCCAAAUAAUCCAAUUUCACCUAGAGUCUAGAGACUACGCCCAUCUUCUCACCCAUUGUCUCCAUCGCAAGCUAACCAAUCGAUGCCACACCUCCGACCAGACUGAAAACCCUGAAGCCCAUUUUUCCACCGAAAGAGAGAUAAAUGGCACCUUGAGAUUUAGAGGCUUGAUGGGGUUGAGACGAUGGUAGAAAGAGGGUCGAGUUAACGAGGUGAGCAAGUCUUCAUCAUCUCUGUUUCGGGAUAGCCAACUCCACAAUUGCCAAAAUUGCAGGGAAAUUCAGUGGGGAAAGCACAACUCUGAAAUUGACUUAGUUUUUUUAUUUUUAUUUUAUUUUUUUUUAAAUUUCUCCUUCUCCAUCACAGAUUCUCAAUCAAGCAAGAAAAUGCAAAAAGAUUAAAAAUGAAGAAAUUGUUUCCAUGGGUAUUGUAGAAAACAGGGAAGUUCUGAUUCUGUGCUGGAUAUUGAAGGCUUCUAGGUGGGCUCGUUCCGGCCACCGUCGCUUGGCUUGUGUUUUGACAGUUGAAAAACAGGCUAGUAAAUAAGGUCCAAUGGCUUGUUGUUCUUAAUCCCAAACGACGUGACUUGUACUUCCAGUUUUCUUCAUCAUUUUCCCUUUUUCAAUAGUGGACAACUCAUUCUGUCAAACAUCUAUGAAUAUCAUUCUAGAAGCCUAGCACGAUUGUAAAAAAAAAAAAAAAAGGGAUCUUUUAAUUUCACUGGUCAAAGUUGAACGUACAUUGCAUGUUAUUUCAAAAUACUUUAUAAGUUAUGUAAAAGUAAUAUUUGGUAUCAAUUUAUUGAAGGAUUUGAUGAGUCUCGAACGAAUUAUAAAAAUAAAAUUUAGCAUAGAAAUUUAAGAUAAUAAAAUUGUACUCUCAAAACUCAAUUUUUAUGAUUCAAAUUUUUUGUAAUGAUGAAAUACUAUAACUGAGCAAUAUUUUUAUAUUACAUUUGAUUCAUAAAAGUUAAUUGUUAAUACAUGAAUUUAAAUAUUUAUUAAAAUUUCUAGAUCCAUGAAUAUAAAUGAAUUCAUCUAUAAUAACUCUAGAUUUAUAUAAUUCAAUAUUUAUCAAGUGAAAAUUCAUUGAAUCUAGAUUAAUGUGAGUGUUAAUUAAUUGAUAAUUAACAACACAAAUUCAUAAACGACAAUAAUUACGUAAUAUUUAUUAUAUAUCGAAAAACGAAAAGUAAAGUAUUAUUGAAAUAAUUGAAUUGUAGGAGAGUUAAAAUCGUCCAAAGAAUCAUUCUCCCUUGAUAUAAUACUUUAAUAUAUUAUAGAUGUAUUAAUAUGUGACUCAAAUUUAAUUGGAUGUUUGUGGAUUGGAUAAAAAAAAGUGUUAAAAAAGUCAGUAUAUGAUUUGGGAGAUUUUGGGACAGAGAUUUGGAAUCAAGUUGGACCUGAAACAAGGUACCAGAGCGCUAUGCUACUGUCUUCUUACCGCUUGUUUUGACUAGGAUGGUGGUUGUUGGGGUAGGGUCCGUUUUGUUGCCUCUAAUAACUCUGUGCAUAGUUAAUCUCUACAGGCUAACCAUUGUAAGUAGAAGCUAAAAAGCAACUGACAGUGAUAUGAUAUGCCACAUAACCUGCGUAAAACGAAGCUAGUUGUUGUACCAUAAUUACUAAUUGAGUUAACUCACAAAAUUUCUUCGUUAUUACUUCCACCUGUGCUGUUAACACCCUCACUGCAUCUAUGUUAUGCAUCCCCACAGUUUUCUUUGGAACUUUCAUGAUGGUUGGAUAAUUGGCUUGAUUCUCGACAAUCAUCUCAUACAGGUUGAGUGCAUCGUAGAUUUCUAAUGUCAUACCCGUUAAAACAUCUAUCAUGUUACGAAAUUCAGGACGUAGUCCAUUGUAGAAGAGAUACACAUGCGCCUGCUUAGGAAUGUUAAGAUUUGGACACUUCCUAAAUAUGCUCUUAAACCUUUCCCAUGCAUCCAAAUUUGUCUCAAAAUCCAUCUAUUUGAAAGAAUAGACUUCGUUUUGGAUUUGGUGGACUGGAGACGAUAGCAAGAAUUUCAUGGUUAAUUUUUGCUUCAUGUGAUUCCUUGAUACAAUACUCCUGGUAGAUAGGGAAUAUAGUCAUGCUUUUGCACCCUCCUUCAUUGUAUAAGGGAAUAGGCGAUUUCGAAAGACAUCUAAUGACAUCCUCUCGUGGCUAAUAACUUUGCACAAUAUUAGAAAAGCUUGUAUGUAUUCGUGAGAGUUUCUAUAGCAUUCCCGAAAAACUUGAUGUUAUGAUGAUUCUAGAAGAGAUUGAUACAUCGAGGUCUAAGCUGAAAGUUUACCUAUCUAAAGGUUGGGUAGAUAAUAGGCGAUUACACUUGUACUAGCGCUGGAUUUACAUAAUCUCCUACUAAUAUUAGGCCAUCGUUGCGAUCGGUCUUUGCUGAACUGGAGGUGCUACUUGAAUUGGAUCCUGAAAUGCAUCUUGAAUCUGAUUCUGAUUUUCAGCCAUUACACUUGCUUUUUUCUCUAUUUCUUCUACAUUGUUUGAAAGUCCUUUCAAUAUCGAGAUCUAGUGAAACUAGCUAGAUAUCUUUUGGAUCUUGCAUAAACCGAUGUCACCCUAAGAGAAGUGAAACAAGAAGAAAUCAGGUAGUAUAAUGAAUAGCCUAGAACAAAAAAAGAAAUCGAAAAAAUCAAAUUUAAUAUCAAUUAAUAACUAAAAUUAAAAUCGUUAUUCCACGACAACGGCACAAAAACUUGGUCGAACAAAAUUCGCAAGUAUAUGAGAUUGUCGGCAAGUACUUGCUUUCACUAUUUUUUCAUCAAAUAAUGAGUUUUACCUAAUAAACACAAUAUAAAAUAAAUUAGGCAAUAUUUCAUCAAAAAAACCUACAAAAAAUCUUUUUUUAAAGUCUCAAAUAAAUGUAUAAAAUACAUUUAUCAUUGUGAUUACUACUUCAUGCCGUGUCAUGUAAUUUCAUCCUUAGUUCCUAACAUCAUGAAUGUUUUCUUGAUUCUUGUUACCAUAUUCAUGCCAUAAAUUUCUUAUGCUCAUUGGCAUUGUUAUCGAUUGUCUUAAAAGUAUGUUAGUGCAAGUCCAAACUCUACUGCUUCGAAAAGCUACGCAUUGGCAGUAAAAGGUAAAUUAAGCAAUCAAAUACUAAGUUUAUCGCUUAAUGUACGAUUAGGCUUGUUUAGACACGCUUUAUUAAUUUUUAUCUUUUCCCGGGGCACACUUUAUUAAUUUUUUAUUUAUCAUGUGAAAUGUCACAAAUGUGAUAAGUUGUAUAUGUUUGAAGAAGUUGCAAUGUUUAGCCCUCUUUAUUGUUGAAAUUGACUUCAAUUAUGAAACCAAUUAAGUUGGUAUAUGUUUUGAAAGCAUUGAUUUAAUUUGGAUGAUCAAAAUUAAUUAGAUUAAAGUACGUUAUAUGCAAGUUGCCUACCAUUACUUUGAAAGUACAUAGACUUUCACAAAGCACUCGAUACGGAUAUUAUGAAUUGAACUCUGAAAGAGUUGAUGAACUCUCAUUUCAAGUAUAACCCAAGAAUGGGGGAGGGUUAAACUUAAUGCUUGUGAACUUGAAAUAGAAAGUUCAAAACUUGUGGAUGCAACAUUAAUAAAUUGCAUAUGUAUUCCUAAUUGAGGAAUUAUGGGGAUAACUCAGUUUAAUAGUUACAUUUGCUUCUAUAUUAUAAUCACAGAACGAUAUUUAUGAAGGUGGAAAGAUAGAAAACCCUUAUACUAAUUAUAAAGAUGAUAUAAAAUAAGUCUAAAGUAGAUGAAAUAGGUUGUAAAGCCGAUUAUGGCUUUUGUUUAGACAUACAAGAACAAUUGGAAUAUAUGAAGAAUAUUCAUAAAGUUCAAAUGCAUGAUAAUGUUUCAAUGAUGAUAUUGAAUACCCAUGAUUCUGAAAUCCACUAGUAAAAGUAAUUGACUAAUGUAGUGUGUGAUAGAAAUCCUCCAACAGUGUUUGGAAAUUGAUAAAGUUUUAGAUAAAGCUAAUGAGGUAUAUAGUUUCAUGAGAGAAUUUUUUAGUGGCAACAAUUUGUAUCUAUCAAAUGAAUCGAUCAUUGGCUAGCAAUAUUUGAAGCUAGUAAGUCACAUGUAAUGGCAGGUCUAAACGUAAAAGUCAUAGACAUAAUACCAUUAAACAGAUGAUCUCAGUUGUGCAAACUCGUGGUAUCGUUAAGAGAUUUACCGAGAGAUUAAGUAUACUGCAUAUCGAAAGGAAUGAGAUUGAAGCCUACAACAUUAGAGUCCUUGUAAUGGUAACCCUACCUUGUUGAUUAGAGAUCCCAAAAUCUUUGUUCAAAUGGACAACUAAGUUAUGAGGAUUUUACAAAGCACUAAGGAAAAUAAUUUCCCAACUCAUUCCUAUGAUAUUAAAGUGUUUUCUGCAGAGUUGCAAGAGGUUAAAAUAAUCUUUUAAUGAUUCCUAUAUCUUGAUUAAGUCAAGUGGAUUAGGGCAGAAUACUCUUAAUAGGAGGUCACCAAUGUGAGUGUGAAGUGGGGCCGCUUCAAUGAGAAUUAUUCAAGGUUUAAAUUCUCUAAACACUAGUAGAGCCAAGAAGGGUUCAGGGCCAAAAUUAACCAAGUCAUGAGAACCAUGAAUGGUUUAGGGAAGACAUUGUUUGAGUAUCGUUAUCAUGGCUUACACUAAAGGUUAAAUUUCAAGACAUCACGUUCACCAAUUAGCCGAGUAAGUCCGAUAAUAUUUUACUAAGGAAGGUUCAAGGGCAGAAGCUACCAUCCCUGAUGCAGUGUUUUUCCGCACUUUCUCUACUAGUGUCUGCAUUAUCAUUUGUAUUGAUUUUCAUUCAUGUGAGGGAUUGUUGGAAUUUUGUUGGAAAUUUUGUAUUAUUUGGUGAAUGAAAAAUUAAGCUAAAUUUAAAUCAUUUAAAUACGUGAAUUACUGAAAAAGUGCGUAAAAUAUUAUGGAAUUUCGAGAAAUUAUUUUACUAAAAAUGUGUCUUUCUAUAUGAAAGAUUAUGACUUUUGGCAUUAUCAUUUUUCAAGAAACGUGUCUCUUUAAAUAUAGAGACUAAUUCCAAUAGUUGUGUCUCUUUCAUAGGUUGUCUCUUUUGAGAUAAAUAUUUUCAACAUCUAUAUAUUGACCCCAUAUGUUUGGAUUUAAUCAUUCAGGAAUUUUAAUUCAUUCCAUAAUUUCAUAUUAUUCAUUUCAUGUCAAGUUACUUAAAAUACUUUGUAGAAAUGGUUAUGUCUUGCUUCAAAGUCAUGUUUAUGGUAGAAAGAGAAUUUCGUUCGAGUUCGCUGGUCGAAAUCAUUUGGAGUGCUCCUAUGGCUUGACGUGGUCAUUAUAUAUUGGGAAAUGAUUGCUGAAAAACCGUUAGCACCGAUGCGGGGCAAAUUCAUCUUACGGACCAAGUGGCAAACACUUGUCUCGACCAAAAAUUCAUCACUUGCAUAUUUAUUACUUAAUUUUCUGAUUUCUCUUAAUUAUGGUUUGAUUUCAGAAAAUGAUUAUCAUUAUUUACAUGUUUGUUUUGCAAUGUUUGAUUCAAAGAAUAACUUGCUUUCGUUAAAGAAUCGAAAGAGAUGAAUCCAUAUUCAUGCAUUCGGAUUCGAUAAUUAUUAUUGUUUUGCUUCUCAAAUUCUAUUUCGGUAAGUCAAAAUUACGUUUCGAUUUCACGCAAAUAAAUUGUAUGCUAUUGUGAUUAUAAUAUGCACACAAUCAAUGUAUUCCCCAACAAAGUUGUCACUCUAUAUAGAGAAAAGUAAUGAAAUGACAUAAUAUUUGAGUAGAGAUAAGUAUCAUUUAUUCCUUUUUCUUUUUUCUUGAAAACUCUUCCUUCAAAGUUCUUGCUUAAAGUUCAAAAAGUGCUUGAAUUGGCAAGGUAAUAUAAAAUAUACAUGAACUUUUUGACACUUAACUUUUUGAAUCUUGUUGGAUUUGAUUUGAUGAUGAUGAUAAUAAUAGCACCUAUUUUUUUAUUAAAGUUUCUGAUAACUUAAUUAUUGAUGAUAAAAUCUAAAAUCCAUAGUUUCCUCUAAUUUUCUUAACGAAUUAAAAAAAAAAGUUAGGUCAACCUUGGAUAUGGGCUGGAUUGACCCCAACUUCAUUUUCAACAACAUAUCUAAUGAAAUAAUAAAUUAUCCACAUAUUUCUAUUGAUGUGUAAAUUAAACCUUUUAUUUUCCGAACAAACGGAAACUUAAACAGGAGGGGACCGUAUGCAUAUAGCUAUACUAUUAUCGCCACUUUUGAAGUCAUGACAUGGCUAUGAGCGUCAACAUUCAAUGGCUCUCAUAGAGCUAAGUAGCAUCACCCUAUUCUUUUCUUCUCAUGUGCUUCCAACCCAAUUGAAGAAAGAAAUUUUUCAAACAUUCAAUGAAGACACUGUCAGAACAAAAGUAAUAUGAGAUGGCGCCCUUGUCCCUGGCCCUGAGUCGGGACAGGGGGUUUUAUCCAAUAUAUAAAUAAAUAAAUAAAAAGGGUUGAACCGCAACUUUGAGGACUCCCAUCGCCUCACCCCUAAGCAUCGUGAGGGAGGUAAAUAACGGGAAGUGCCCCAACAGGUCAGGGAACAAGAGCUUGCCUAUGCACAAGUGCCCAUAAAAAGUCCAAUUUCAUAUCUCAGAAAUCGAAUCCUCACACUGCGGCUGUCAACAAGGCUAAAACUACCUCACUCAUGUCCUUUGCACCAUUGGGUUAUGCCUCGGGGGGCGGGUUUUAUCCAAUAUGAUAUGUAAUACUUUUGCUAAAGCAAGAAAGAUAGAGGUUAUGUUGAGUCAAACUUUUCCUUUUUCGUGUCAUCUUAUUUUGCUAUUACUCGUUAUUUUAACUUGUAUGGGACUUAACCAAUAUGCCACUCAAAGCUAUACAUUAGCAAGUUAUAGUCUCCGUGUGGCUCCCAUUUUUUUUCAAAACUCAUUUUCAACCACACAAUUUUGCAUAAAAUAAUUUUAUGGGUAAAUCGAAAACUUUCCUUUUUUUUAAAUAACACAUUCUUAAAAAAAUCACUAUUCCAAAAUAUAUUUUUUACAAAAAUGGGGCUAAAUAGGGGGCAUAUUCUGUCAAACUGUGGAAAAAUCUUGCAAUUCGUCUGAAAAAACUUAAAUUGUUAGAUAGCAUAUUCCUUUUUCGUCAUAUCCGUGACACAAAAUUUUUACAGUUGUCUGAAAAUUUUUAUUUUAAACAUUUGCACUCUACUAGACUACUAUUAUACGACAUUCGUAUUCACUCAGUGAAUAAUAAUAUCAUUUCUGAAUAGUUGAGCGUCAUGUUUUUCGGUUCCUGAUUAACAUUAGAAAAAAUGAAAAUAAAACAAAGACAAUUUUCAAAGUUUGAUUUCACGACUAUUUCAGUAUUUACUCAACUUGAUGACUAGCGAAACUCAAUUUCACACUCUACAACCUGGUUGGCUUCAAUAUCUGGUGCAGCUUCACAUCACAUCAUUCCCAACUGAUAAACUCUCAUUGAAACUGGUUUUCAUACUGGUAAAAUAUGCUUCACAUCCUAUCUGAUGCUCCUUUGUUUUCCGCCAGAAUAUCUUAAACUUGACUGCAGUUUCCACCUCCACUUUAAAAUCUAUACUUCAACCUCUUAGUCCUUGCUGAAAAUUUCGGUGGACCACGGCUGAGUCAGCUUUAAUAGUUAUUUUCCAUGAAGUAUCGUUCUUGUGUCCUUGAUAAAAUGGUGGUGUAGAACUUGUCCCAACAAAGACAUCUUUGAAAAAUAAACUCAAGGAGAUCCCGUCAUAGUAUAUGCUAAUACCUUUGUUAGGAUUCGAGAUUUUGAAAUCGAAAAGUAUUAGAGAAGAGUUUCCAACAGAAGAAUUCUCAGAAUUUAGAGAAGGAAAGUAUAUGUUUACAAUGGUAAAAGAUGGAUUUCUUGGGAUUAGACAGCGCCAUAUAACUACAGAAACCAAACUUAACACUACUAUCACCUGAAAAAACCAGCAGUAGAUGCCGAAGUUAGCUUCACAAAUUUUUUGGCGAACCAUUUGUACUUGUAGUGUAACAAAAUGAAAUCUCAAAGAAACUGAUUCAAAAUUUAAAUUCAGGGUUCUGGAUCAUGAAAAGAGAGAGAUUUGAAAAGGCAUGUUCAUGACUGGAAGUUGGCAAGACAUAUAUGCUUGUGGUUACGCUAUUUUAUAGAUGAAUAGUUUGUGCACUGAAAAUUUUCUAAUACAAAAAAAAUAAUAAUAAAUAAAUAAAAAUUAUGAAAAAAGUUCGCAUGUUUAUACCUAAGUCGAAAAGAAAGUAAGCCGCAUUGGAUCAAGUUAUACAACAGGUUGGACGGUUUGCUUUAUUGGUCGUAAAAAGUGUUAACUAAUUCAAUCAUGCUACAUAGUCCAACUCAAUGAUAGAAUUUUUUUUCCAGACAACACAUUGUUGGGAAUCUACUUAUACAUGCACAGCGGAAUUUAAAAUAAUUUUCGAUUCCCACCAAGAAUCGCCUUUGUGUUUAGAUAGAAAUUGUGAUAAGAUUGUACCUUUUCCAGAUCUGCAAUCCUUUUGCUUUUCUUUUCGUUCCACAACUUUGAUUCGCCACCACAGCUGUCCAAUUGUCCAGCCUCCAACGGUGAUCCACACAGAGAAUAUGAUUGCAGCCUCUAGGGUUUUUUUUCUUGUGCCAGCAAGAAUAAUGAAAACACAUAUGGACCUCAAACCCUAGUUAUGUAUUUAUAUAAACCCAAACAGGCUCGACCCGGUCCGGUCCAAUAAUUAAUUAAUCCAAUUAAUUAAUUCGAAAAUAUAAAUAACAAAUCCAAUUAAUUAAUUUAUCCAACGAUUGUUAAAUUAACCAAUUGGCAAUUUGCAAUCUUCCAAUUCUCUUUUGUGUGUGACCCAUUAGGUUCCCGACCACGAUGUCUAACGACGUGAAAUAUUAUUUUGAUCUAAUCAAAAUUGAUAAAUUAAAACCCCCCUUUUAAUUUAUCGUUAAUUCACAUUCGCCGUCCCUGAUUGACAUUUAGCAAUGUGUCAGGGCAAUACAUGUGACGGGAAAUGUCACGUGGUAUGACAAAAUCAAAUUCGUUCGUUUACCGUGAAACUAUAAUCCAUUCGUCAAUAUGAUCCGAUCAAUUACGAGAUAUGGAAUUGUGUCAAUCUCGAUCAUCGAUCAUAUCUUUCAUUCCACUAUUAAGUCAAUAUAAGUCGAAAACUCCUUUUCGACUUAUGGGUACACCUUGGCUAAGGAUUUCAUCAUCGACUUAAUUGAAUGAAACGCAGAUCAUAAUCUCCUACUAUCUAAGAGUGACGAAUCCUUUACUGAUCAAUCACAACCUUCAUACGAUUCUUGACAUACCCGAACGAUAUCGUAUUAGCGGCCCUAUUCAGAGCAACAUUCAACACCGCCAAAGUAUGACUAUCUUCAUAUAAGGUACUAUGACGACCUCAAGUCAAAGGACCAAUUCCACUACCGAACGUUAGAGAUUAAUCACUGACACUCAGAUAGUUAUCCAUGUGGAAUCUCUCGACGGGUCUCCAAUGUUUUGUUCUAUAACAAAAACAUCCACGUGUUCAUUUAAGUGUCACCACACUUUAACUUGUGAGAUCAGUUACUUACUUCACAAGUAAGAAAUACCACACGUGAUGGUCUAUCCGUAAUAACGAUAUCCGUAUCUCGUUAUUACUUACGACCACGGAUGAUUUAAGAUUCAAUCAGAUGUAAUUUGUAUCUCACAAUCACAACUCCUUGUGAUCAACAAAUUACAAAUAUUUGAAUCUACGGACUCUAUUAUUUAUUUAAUUGUCUAUUAAUUAAAUAAUAGAUCUGUCAUUUAAUUGCAUUAAUUAUAUAUAAAAGUAUUUAUGUCCAAAGUUGAUUGGACCUAGGGCAUAAUACUUACACACAUGACAAUUUUUCAUUAAAAAUCGGAAAAAGGCAUCACAAAAACACUCAAUCACAAACUGUCAAGUCUGCCUAUUUUUUAUCCCUAUUUUUUCUCCCUAUUUGAGUAGCAUUUUCUAACUAAUUUAAGCUCGGGGCAAAUAGUGGUCGACAACGACCGCAUGAUCGGAGCCCUGAUUCUAUACCACAACCAAAUCCAUUCUUCCAUAUUGCGAUUUGUGCAGUGUGAUUGAUAUAUAUGGUGAUUAUCUCUUGCGCCAAUUUUAUCCAUUCUCCAUUGAAGUAUUGUAAUAAUCAACAAUUUUGUGCCACUAAGACAGUCAAGUAUCAAUAAAAAUUUCUUACAGUUUGGGUAAUUUCAAAUUUGCGAUCUUAAUUUUGGAAUUCGUGGUAGAAUCAAGAAAUUAUUUCCAUAUCGACUAUAUCAAAAUGGGGAAAGGUCUUGAGGACCCAUUUGCAUGAAAGACAGAUUAGAAACCAUUUGCAUUAAGGAACGACACUUCCAAGAAUAGAUUAAUAGCAGCUGAAAAGCAUAGCUGAAAAUUAAUUGGUUUAUUGAAAAAUAUACUUGGACAAAAGGCUAUGAUCCACUUCAUUAAAGUAGCUUUUUGAUCAAUUCAUAAGCAUCUUCUGCCUUCUGAGUGAAGCAAUCGAGUCAACAUUACGUAGCUUAAGUAUUUGAUUUUCAAUAUGCCUUUUUUCUUAUGCAAAAAAAAAAAAAAAAAAAAAAAAAAAUUUAAAAAAAAAAAAAAAAAAAAAAAAAAAAAAAUUCUAGAGAAAAUUGCAGGGAAGGUCCCAAACCUUUCAAUUUUCUCCAAAAUACCCCCUUAACCUUUUAUUUUUGCGGCCGUAGUUCCAAACCUUUCACUUUAACGGCAGCGAGAGUCCAUAAGACAUAUUUCAUCUAAUAUUCCGUUAGUCAACCAUGAAAUUAGAUGUUUGACUCAAAUUGACAAAUUAAAUUAGGAGUACAAAUAAUAAAUUUAAAUUUUCUAUAAUAAAACAAUUAAAAUAAUUAAAUAAAAACAAAAUCAAAGUGAACUUUCUCUUCCCAAACCCCACCCACAAAAUUCAAAACCAGAAAAUGUUGGUGUCCACUUGGUUAGCAACGGAGCUCAUUUUUUACUUCACGAGAAGUACUCGAGUACACAUCUAAAGCGAUAGCCACAGAGGAAUCAUUGAACUAUAAAUUCGACUAUUCUACUAUGCCAGUAUCGUCACAUCAAAAAAUUUGAAGGAUAAACAUAAAAAUUAAAAAGUUGUUAAUUAUACGAUAGUAAUCUUCUUAUCCUGAGGAAAAAAGAUAGAUUAAGUGCAUGGUGUAUGCACUUUUACACACUCAUCAACAUGGAAACACCGGCCUACAUUAAUUAUUCCAAGUGGAGAAAUCCUCGACCAUUAUAUCUACAUUGAAAAGAAAAAUAAGUACAGUGUGUAUAUGUCUCUUUUUAGAUGACCAUGCACAUGUAGUUGUGCUUAAUUUACUUUCUUCAAAAUAACUUUUAAUCACAACCAAACAUGCUCAUGUGUUCUUAGUAAACCUUAGUACACACACUUCUGAUUUCACCUUCUUUAUCAGUAAGCACAUUAAUUCUGCCCAUUUUCACCAUCGACUCCCCAAAGUCUUCGAAGAACGUAGAUCCAUGAGAUAGAGCUUGAAAUUUGAGAUAUGCUUUUGUUUCAAUGUCAUCUAGUAGAGCUACGUCUGACUCGAAAAGCCCUCUUCUUUUCGCCACAAGUCUGAAAUAAGACUCAUCGAAGGUCUCGUAACUUCCGGGAUCCAUUUCCACUAUUGAGUUCUGGUCUCGAGGCUUGCAUUUCAUCUUAAGUUUUUUUACGUACUUACUAUCCAAACUGGGGUCGGUAUCAAACCUUCCAGUGAAAUUGUAGAGAUGGUGGUGGAAGGAUGAGCAAUGAGAAAUCCCAAUUGUAUGUCCACCUAAAUUAAAGGUAAAGUUUAUGUUCGAACAAAUUUCUACUGUGUUUUUGUCCUUCGAGAUUGUAACAUAAUCCUAUAUUUCUUAACUUUAGAAAAUGCAACUAAAAAGUCAAAAGUCAAAAAUUAUUUUCUGAAAGUUUUUAUCUCACUAGAAGAAUUGUUAGAUGAAGUUGAUGUAAGUACCCCUUCAUCAUAAAUUAAGCUCUUCUACGAGAAGAAAAAGAAAAAAAAUCUUUCAUAUAUAUAUAUAUAUAUAUAUUUAUUUUUUAAUGAUGGGGGAACCCGUAGCUGCUAUCCUUCCGGUGCGUACUGGGUAAACCCUCAAACUGAAACAAUAGCCUGCAAAUCAUGUCAGUAAGGUAAACUGUACGAGGCAAACCCUGUGCGACAAACUCUACCAAGAAAGUGUUGGUAUGAAAAAUCGAACUCGUGACCAAAGGUCUCCGUACUCACCUACUCUACCAACUCGGCCACAUCAUGAGGGUAAAAAAAAAAAAAAAAAAAAAAAAAGUUUUUUAAUUGUCCCUUAGUCAAAUUGCUUAAGCAACCCUCACUUUUGCGACUAGUGCAACAUAAUUUUAUAUUUAAUUUGUUCGGCCUAAAUUUACACGUGGAAUAUGUAGAAGUGGGCAUCAAAAUACCUGAUAAGACUACGAGGUCCUUGACACUUAAACCGCGCUUCUUAAACCCUUUCUUUAAAGUACUAAUGUUUGAAAAGGGUGCUAACAAUUUAUGUAGGGCUUCGCUCUUAAUCGAUACUCUUCCAUCUCUUCGUCCAGUUUCGACUUCCCAGAAUGGCCCUUUAACCUGAUAAACAUAGAAUUCAAUUAUAACCCUGAAUAUAUCUUCAUUAUCUAAUUGAAUUUUUUCAUAUACUCAAAGUUACCGCUACUGUUACAUCCCUAGCUACUAGGGCUAGUAUGUCAGCACAUGAAACGACACCGGGGCACACUUUCUCUGCUGCAGCCUUCGCUUGAUCUAUAAUUUCAAAUCCUCUUAAACUUAAAUAUGAGUCAGCAUCCUUCUCAUAUUUUUUUGCUGGAGACUCCAACAACACUGAUCCAUCACAGCCCUGCAUAUAAGUUAAUAGAAAUAUAAUACUUACCGAGCCAGUAACAUGGAAGCAUAAAUUUUGGUAACGUACUCUAACAAAACAAUCGUGAAAAUGCAUUCUUAACAAUGGAGGUGCAAGAGUUGGCGAUAUAGAGAUGACUUGGUCUACAAUCUCUUUAACUAAGGGUUCAAGAUCUGGGCAUGUUUCCUGGUAAUACCCUACUUUCAGACUUUGUCCAUUUGCAACAAUAUUGAAAGCAAAAGCUAGGGUAAUUAAUUGAAAAAAUAAGGUGCUUAUUGAAGCCAUGCAGUACUAUGAAGUAUGAAGUGUUAACUUCUUGUAUUUUGGUACUGAAAUUAGGUAAAGUAAUUGCAUCGUUUUAUCGUAAGCCAUCUACCAAAACCCUUUGAAUCUGUCAGUGCAUGGCUCUCUCUGAUGUGAUUCUUCUUAAGGUUUAUCAUUAUCUAUCAUUUUUUUGAAUAAAUCUGAUUGGUAUUUUUGAACAAAUAAUUAAUUGACCAAACAGUUGGGACCCACGUGGUGAUGAAAGAAGAUGACGAUUUAUUUGGGUCUGAAGUAAAAUAAGUAAAUUUUGACCUACAUAUUAAUUUAUUGAUUAAAGUUGGAAAAAAAAAUUAUUUUAUUAAUUUUGAAAGUAAAUUUUAUUGCAUAGGACUUGGCAAAUGAAAAUCCAGAGAAAUAAUGUUAUCUAGCACCAGUGGUACUUAAAUAUCAGUUUAUAUGACAUUAUAUGAUAGAUUAAAUUAAAUGUGAAAUUAUGCAUUUUAUUUAACUAAACUUGUAAUUUAAUAAUACUAAUACUGUCAUAUAACUAGUAUUAACCUCCAGUGAUGCUAACUAGCACUACUCAAUGUAGAUAUGUAAUGUGUUGGCUUGACUUAGUCAGUGUGUGCCCGAGCAAUUGUUAAGAGUCAAAAUAAGUAAACUUCUAUUUGUACCAUUAAGCUUAGUCAAAUAAGCUUAAUGAAAAUAUCCUUAAAUAUCCUUAAACUUCUAUUUUUGUUUAAUGAAACAAUUCACAAAAAUCCUUAAAAAAAAUUUAUUAAUUAAAUAUUUAGCCAUUGCUUGAUUGUCAUUAUUUAGCAAAAACAAGAUUUUGAAUAGUGAAUUUUGAAGAAUGUGUGGUUAAAAAGUAGGAAACAAUUUUGCAUUUAUAUACAAAAUAUUUUACUGUGUGAAUUUAUAAUUGAAAAUGAGUUUAAAGAAUAAAGAAUUUUAAAAUAAUUAUUGUCAAAUAGGGGCUUACUUUUGUCGCUUUUUUAUUCUCAAACUACUGUAUUAUUAAUAUUUUAUUUUUAAAUUUUUUUACAAUAAAUUUUGUAUACACAUAUUCAACCACCCUAUUUCCACCCUCAUUAUUGUCACUACCAUCACCAUGGCCGCCGUCAAUUGUAACACAAUAUGAUCUACACAUUUUGGUGCAUUUAUCAAUCAUCAUCAUGACAGUCGACACCAACACUACUAGUAAUGUUCAAUGUUAUACCAUUAUUGCCGGUCCCACCACUUUAGCAUUAAUUGUUAUACUACUUUUAAUCCCACCGCUUAAAAUAUUUAUUGUUACACCACUAUCGUUGCCCCAUCAUUGUCGUUACCUUAAUUAUUAUCCUACCAUUUGCACAACCAAACCACCACCGCCUCCACCAUAACCACCACCCUAAACUCUAAAUCACCACUACCACUAGUAGAUCUACACCACUUCUCCCAUCAUGACAUAAGCCACCACCUCCCAACCAUCACCACCACAUUUCAAACCUUAAAUCAUCCCCAUGCACGACCACCUACACUAUCACCACUACCACCAUUUUUAGUCACCACCUAAUCUCCACUCCCACAACAAACCACCAAAAAUAAAAUCAAUCUGAGACAUAAAAGUAUCAGAUUUGAGGUGAAAGGAGGUGGUGGAGCGGGCAUUGCUAAUGGUGAAAAUGGUCGCGGGUGGUUCGUGAAUGAUGGUGGUUCCAUGUCUGUCAAUACCCAUAAUCAACGUGUCUUUUAUGCGGGAGAAGGUACUAGAUUCAAUAUUUCCUUGUUUUCUUUCUCUUCUCGAACUUCACUUUUACAUUUGAAAAAAAAAAUUAAUACUUAAAAUUCAGGAUUAUUAAUCAAAAUCAACAAAAGACGUGACUUAUUCUAAUCACAUGCAUCAUAUCAUUAUAUUUUACAUGUUACGUCAUUGAAUUGAUAAUAUAUUUAUCAUAAUGAAUUAGUCGUCUAGAGACUUGACAAUUUGCCUCGAAAAAAAUAUGCUCAACAAAACAACUUAAUUUCCAGGCAAAUCCAUCUAGUAAGGUUUAUAGAUUUCAUUCACUAGAAAAAUAUGUUCCACAAGAAUAGAUGUAAAGGGAUUGUUGGAAAUUAUAUUAAGUUUCAACUUUCAAAAUUAUUAUAUUUUUAAUUUUUAGUUUUGGGUUUAAUUAAAAUCUUAAUUUGUUGUAAAUGGAAAGUCCAUUAAAGUUUAUUGAUGAAUGACAUUUGUACCCCUUAGCCCUAGAAAUUAUUAUCAUUGUAUCUCUGAUUCUUACCUAUAAAUAUAGAGCUUUGAUUUUCAAUAAUACAGACAAAAAGUUUAUUGAGUUUUCUCUAUUCUCUUUAAGUUUCUCUAUUCUCUUUUCCUCUCAUUUUAUAACAUGUUAUCAACACGAAACUCUUAGAAGGUAGUAAUUUUUUUCAUAAUCAUCUAUCACGUAUAUCAAAAUUAAUUUGAUAAUACGUGAAUUUUACAUAUACAUAUGUUAAAUCUGCAAUACGUGAUCUCAUCUUUCUCGAUCAUUAUUUUUUCUUUGUACCUCUCUUUGAAUUAAUUAAUAUUUUUUUCCUUUACAUCAAUCCACGUGCAUUUUUAUGGAAAUAUAUUUAUGUUAAAUCAAUUGAUAUGCAUUAAUUCAUGUUCCUAUACUCUCCUUAUAUUUAGAUUAGCCUUUUACGUUUUACACAUGCUUAUAAUUUUUUUUUUUUUAAUUGGUCAACGUUCUUUGUAAGCAAGCUUCAAUUUCAGAUCUCUAUUUUGGCUGAUUCCAUAUAUAUAUAUAUAUAUAUAUAUAAUUAGCAAAUAACUGUACCCAACUCAUCUUUUCUCUCAAAUCCAUUGGUUUCUAUAAAUUUCAUGCCUUAAUUGGUUAAUACUAAUUCAAUUCUUUUAAUUGCACAUAAUUAGAAUUUCAUGCCAUAAUAUGUGAAUAUGUUUCUACAUGUCACCAAUUUUUUUUUUGUGUUUCACAGGACUCACGUUAUUAAUUCAAAAUAAUAUUUUACAUGUAUUUGUAUAUUAAUUAAUGAUGAGCAAUUGGAUGUAUUAUCAUUUUUUUUAUGUUUAGUUAUGAAACAUUACAUUAAAUUUAUUUUUAAUUGUUAUUGCUCCUGAAAUAGCACAACAUUAUAAUUAAUAUUCCAAAAGAAUAUUAAUCAUAGAGUUAUUCAUUGUUGCUUCAGAAGUAGCACAACAUUAUAAGAAUAUUAUUUGUUCCUGAAGAACAUAAAUUAUAACUCUCAAUAUUCCAAAAGAAUAUUGACAUAUUGUACUUGAAGAAAUAAUAGUAAAAUAUAAUGUGCUCCAAAAGUAGCAUAUGUUUCGAAAAACAUAUUAUUUCAAAUUAGUGUUUAUCCCUAGAGGAAAACACAUAAUUUAAAGUCAUGUUGAUAUUGACUAUUUGAUUAACAUGUGAUGAUUAAUCAUAUUCUUCGAAACUAAUUGUAUUUUUUUAUUGUGUAGUUAAACAAAUGGCAAACAUUACGAAACCUGAGUUUGCUGCACUUGACAUAUCUGGUAAAAAUUAUCUGUCAUGGAUACUGGAUACUGAUAUCCAUCUUGUCUCAAAGGAUCUGGAAGAGACAAUAAAAGAAGGAAACAAUGAAUUCCUGCAGGAUCAUGCGAAAGCACUCAUUUUCUUCCGUCACCAUCUUCACGAUGGAUUAAAAUUUGAAUAUCUCUACUAGAGAUCAAUCAAGGAAAAAGAAAAAUUGGAGACUAAUUUUGCUGAUUAUGAUAGUCCAAUUAAUGUGACUCAUUUGGAUGUCUCCGAUUUCUUUACUGAUCCAAAUAGAAAUAUUGAACAUUUGGUUGGAGGUGGUGUGAUAGAAGAUAUAGAUUAAUUUACUAGUAUUUCUUUCGUUUUACAAAUUCAGUCUGAAAUGUGUUUUUACUUUUCUACACAAAAAUAAAAAAAAUAAAAAUAAAACUCUAUUAUGCACCGUUUAUUUCAUGAUAUUAAGUAAUGUUUACUUCUUUAAAUCUAAAUUCAAGUUUUUUUUUUAAAUUUUGUUUAUUUUGUUAUAUUUAUAGAUUCAUGAUGAAUAGUUAAGACAGUUGCUUAAUUGAUAGUGCAACUACAAAUACUAUUUUUCAAGACAAAAAAUGCUUUUUAAACUUAAUAUUAGUUGAAAAUAAUGUUACGAUAUCAGGUGCGUCGAAUAUCGUUGAAGGCUCCGGAAGAGCUUGUAUUAUUUUACCAAAUAAUACAAAAUUAUAUAUUGAUGAUGCACUUUAUUCUAGCAAAUUCAGAAGAAAUUUGCUUAAUUUUAAAGAUAUUCGCUCCAAUGAAUAUCACAUUGAGACGAUGCAAGAAAAUAAUAUUGAAUAUCUUUGCAUCACUUCUUUUGUAUCUGGCAAGAAGCAGAUAAAAGAAAAUUUUCAUACACUCCCGUCUGGUAUGUAUUUUACAUUUAUAAAAAUGGUCGAAUCAAAUAAUGUUACGAACCAGAAAUUCGUUGAUUAAAAAAGUUUUAUACUUUGGCAUGAUCGACUUGGACAUCUAGGAGUCAUAAUGAUGCGUCAAAUAAUAAACAACUCACAUGGACAUCCUUUAAAGAAUCAGAAGAUUCUUUUAUCUAAUGAUUAUCCAUGUAUAGUUUGUUCGCAAGGCAAGUUAGUCAUUAGACCUUCAACUACAAAAGUCAAUAUUGAAUCUCAAACUUUCUUGAAAAGAAUACAUGGAGACAUAUGUGGGUCAAUACACCCAUCAUGUGGACCAUUUCGUUACUUUAUGGUAUUAAUUGAUUCUUCUACAAGAUGGUCACAUGUUUGUCUACUUUCAACUAGGAAUGUAGCAUUUGCUAUACCACUUGUUCAAAUCAUAAAAUUGCGAGCACAAUUCCCCGAUUACUCAAUCAAGACUAUUCGUCUUGACAAUGCUGGUAAAUUUAGAUCACAAGCAUUUGAUGAUUAUUGUAUGUCAAUUGGGAUUGAAAUUGAACAUUCAGUUGCACAUGUUCAUACAUAAAAUGGUUUAGCGGAAUCGUUUAUUAAACGUCUACAACUUAUUGUUAGACCAUUACUUAUGAAAAUAAAACUCCCAACUUCUGUUUGGGGUCAUGCCAUAUUAUAUGCUGCAUUAUUGGUUCGUAUAAGACCAACUGUCUAUUAUCAAUAUUCACCUUUGCAACUUGCAUUUGGUCAUGAACUUGAUAUUUCUCACCUACGGGUUUUUGGUUAUGCUGUCCAAGUUUCUAUUUCACCCCCACAACGUACUAAAAUGGGUCCCCAAUGAAGACUUGAGAUUUAUGUGAGUUUUGAUUUACCAUCUAUUAUUAGAUAUCUUGAACCUUUAACGGGUGACUUAUUUACUGCACGUUUUGCAGAUUGUCAUUUUGAUGAAAUGACUUUCCCAACUUUGGGAGGAGAAAAACUAUAUCCUGAAAAACAAGAUAGAAUUUCUUGGAAUGAGACAACUCUAUCUCACUUUGAUCCCCGCAGCAAUCAAUGUGAACAAGAGAUUGAAAAAAUCAUUCAUUUGCAAAGAGUUGCAAUUCAACUACCUGAUGUAUUUGUUGACACGAGAAAAGUGACAAAGUCAUAUAUUCCAGCAGAAAAUAUUCCAGCAAAAAUUAAUGUCCCUGCAGGACAAUCUGCUGUGGCAAAUGAAUCUCAAAUACGCCAGAAGCGUGGUCGACCAGUUGGUUCAAAAGACCUUGUACCUCGAAAAAGAAGAGUACGGGAGAAAAAUCAACCAAAAACUUAAGAAGAAAUCACAUUAGAAAAGAUUAAUCAAUCAAAUAUUGAAUGUACGGUUCCUGAAGAACCGGAGGUGUCCGAAAAUAAUGAGAUCUCAAUAAAUUAUAUGAUAUCUCAUAAAUUAUGGAAACGGAAUAAUAUUGUUAUAGACAAUAUUUUCGCCUUUAACAUGGCUCAUGAUAUUAUGUAAAAUGAGGAUCCUGAACCACAGUCUGUUUAAUGACUGUCGAAAUAGAAAUGAUUGGCCAAAAUGGAAAGAAGCUAUACAGGCAAAAUUGAAUUCUUUGGAGAAACGAAAAGUGUUUGGACUAGUAGUUCGAACACCUAAAAAUGUAAUCCCUGUUGGAUACAAAUGAGUUUUUGUAUGAAAGAGAAAUGAGAAUAAUGAAAUUACAAGAUACAAAGCCCGACUAGUGGCUCAAGGUUUCUCCCAAAGACUGAGAAUUGAUUAUGAAGAAACAUAUUCUCCCAUAAUGGAUAUCAUCACUUUCAGGUUCUUAAUUAGUUUGACCGUGUCAUAAGGGCUCGAUAUGCACCUUAUGGAUGUAGUAACUGCCUACCUAUAUGAUUCACUUGACAGUGAUAUAUAUAUGAAAGUCCCUGAAUGAUUUAAGGUGCCAGGAAUAAAUGAUACAUGUCCGAGAACUAUGUUCUCAAUUAAAUUGCAAAAAUCAUUAUGUGGAUUGAAACAAUUCGAACGCAUGUGGUAUAAUCGCUUUAGUGAAUAUUUGUUGAAAGAGAGUUAUAAAAAUGACGAUAUCUGCCCAUAUAUUUUUAUAAAGAAAACAAAUAUUGGAUUUGCAAUUGUGGCAGUUUAUAUUGAUGAUUUAAAUUUAAUUGGAACACUUGAAGAGCUCAACAAAAUUGCAGAUUAUUUGAGAAAUGAAUUUGAGAUGAAAGAUUUGGAGAAAACUAAAUUUUGUCUUGGAUUACAAAUUGAACAUUUUCCAGAGGGAUUAUUUGUUCAUCAAUCUACUUAUACAGAAAAGGUCUUGAAAUGCUUUUAUAUGGAUAAUGCACAUCCAUUGCCAUCAUCUAUGGUUGUUCAUCACUUGAUGUGAAAAAAUAUCCAUUUCGUCCACUUGAAGAUGGAGAAAAGAUUCUUGGUCCUGAAGGACCUUAGUGCAAUUGGAGUAUUAACUUAUCUUGCAAAUUACACUCGACCUGACAUAACUUUUUCUGUAAAUCUCCUUGCAAGAUAUAGCUCUACACCAACUCAAAGGCAUUGGAAUGGUGUUAAACAUUUUUUUUGUUACCUAAAAGGUACUAUUGAUAUGGGACUGUUCUAUUCUCAAAAGUCAGGAUCUGCUUUAGUGGAAUAUGUAGAUCCAGGUGAUCUCUUCGAUCCACAUAAAGCUAAAUCACAAAUAGGAUAUGUGUUUACACGUGGAGAAACAGCUAUAUCAUGGAGAUCUGUGAAACAAUCCUUGACAGCAACAACCUCAAAUCAUUCUGAGAUUAUUGCAAUACAUGAAGCAGGGCAAGAAUGUGUAUGGUUGAGGAAUAUGACCCAUCAUAUCCAAUCAUCAUGUGGAUUGACUUCAACAAAAGAUAGUCCAACAAUUUUGUUUGACGAUAAUGCAGCUUGUAUCGCACAACUCAAGGGAGGUUAUAUCAAAGGCGAUAGGACGAAACAUAUUUCUCCAAAAUUCUUUCAUACACAUGAACUUCAGAAGAAUGGUGACAUUGAUAUUCAAUGAAUUCGCUCAAGUGACAAUAUGGUUGAUCUAUUCACAAAAGCGCUGCCAACAUCUAUAUUCAAGAAAUUAGUUCAUGAGAUUGGAAUGCAUCGACUCAAAGAUUUUCAAUGAUCAACAUCAGGGGAAGUAGCUGUACUCUUUUUCCUUCGCUUAGGUUUUAUCCCAUUAGGUUUUCCUAGCAAGGUUUUAAUGAGGUAGCAUUUAAUUUUAAUACUCCAAAAUAACUGUACUCUUUUUUCUUCGUUUGAUUUUUUUUCUCAUUGGGUUUUUAUCAAACAAGAUUUUAACGAGGCAGAUAUUUUGUAAUAUGUCAUUCAAAGGGGAGUGUUGUAAAUGGAAAAUCCAUUAAAGUUUAUUAGUGAAUGACAUUUGUACCCCUGUAGCCCUAGAAAUUAUUACCAUUGUAUCCCUGAUUCUUAUCUAUAAAUAUAGGGCUUUGGUUUUCAAUAAUACACACAAAAAGUUUAUUGAAUUUUUUCUAUUCUCUUUGAGUUUUCUCUAUUCUCUUUUCCUCUCAUUUUAUAACAUGAUUUAUAUUAUAACACAAAAUUAAAUAUUUAAAUGGAGGUUAUGGAUUGAUUAAUUCUCAUUAGUGUGGGGUUUAAAUUGUACACUAUAUAAAGGGAGGAAAAUCACAAUUUUAGAUACAAUUAGAAAAACACAACUCGAGAUGAUUGAUUCCAAAAUUAUUCUAUAUUAUUUUACCCUAUACUAUUUUGACAACUAGAUAAAGGCUCGUUCUUUAUCUCUCUAUGAUCGUGCCCAUAGAAGAAGAGCCACAUGGAUUUUAUCUUGGAGCCGUGUAGUGUCGAAAGAACCCGCACGAAGGGGAGGCAACACGACUUUAGGACAGCGUCGUCGACGUGACUCUCAAGGCUUGAUUUUCUAACCCUAUUAUUAUUUUAUAUUAUUGUUGAAUUAUGUUUAUGUCUAAUUGAUUAUAUGAUUAUACUAAUUUCUAAAUAAAUCUACAUACAAAUCACCCAAUUUUUCCAACAAUCUAAAGUCAUGUUGAAGUAUUGUGUGUAGAUAAAUCAUAUGUGUAAUCUUAGUGUACCUUGUGUUACCUCUAAUACCAAAUUAAUUUCCUUAUUGUUGCUUAGAAAUUUUGGACAUGCAUUCGUGCCUAAUACACAUAAUACACAUCUAUAGGUAGUGUACCAAGACCUGAAUUCUAUUGGUAAAUACCAACUGCUAGUAUACUACACAACUAACACAAGUGUCGUAAGCAACCUAUUUGUAUCUAACGGAAAGUUGGAUCUCCUAACCUGUUGUCUGUCAAGAAUCUCACCCAUAAGUAUUCACCAAUAAUCCAUUUAGCUCUCCUCAUGAGUAAUAGAUAAUUCUCUUGAAUUGAAGGAGAUAUAGAUGAUGAACAACUCUUGAGCAUCAAAAAUAUCCCUUAGGCAUCCUGUUCACCAAGCCUCAUAUUCUGGCAGAUUUAAAUAUUUGUUCUAGCACAAAAAUGGCAUUAAAUCCAUAGAAUUGUAAUACCCGUAAGAGAAAAUCCCAACCGAUGUAUCAAAAGCUUUACCAAUAUCAUUUUUUUAGAACCUUGAAACCAAAUCAUUUUUUUUCAAAGCACUAACACACUCUUAAGCCACUGCAAUGCACUCUUCAAUUUACUGCCCCUUAGCAAAUUGGUACUGAUUAUCUGACACAAUUUUGGAGCCAAUGGAACUUAAUCGAUUAGUUAGAGUGUUGGUGUUAAUCUUGAACAAGAAGUUGCCAGUGACUAUUGGCCUAGCCUCCUGAACUUUGGGUAUCAAAGUCAUAAAACUAAAGUUUAAGCCAUGCAGAACAAACCUAAUCGUGAAGAAAUACAGUAUUGCAUAUUAGAUUCUGGAAAAUUAGUCAUGGACGUAAAUAAACCAUCGAGCAUGAGUCUUAAUAUCCUGAUACUGAAUGCAGAAAUGAAUUAGUAUCUCACAAGAUUGAUUGUUGGAUGCAAUAGAUCAGGUUUUGGUGGUAAGACCAUGUUUCAUGCAAGAUUAUGCAAGUGCAUUGAAUAGGCAAGUGUCUAUAUUAUUUUCACGUGUAACAAGUUAAAUGCUGAAAUCUUAGAGUAUUUUAAAAUAAAUUUGGUAUUUAGUCAUGCACAUGAAUCUAUGAAAUAUUUUGAUUUCACAGAAAUUAUAUGAUUUGAUUAUAAACAAAUGGCUAAAAGAUUUAAACUUUAAUAAUGUGCUUAAUUAAUAUUUUAAAAGAGGUGUAUUAUCAUGACUAAUCUGCAUAAUUUUGUUUACAUCCCAAGUGUAACAUAAAAAAAGGAAGUUAAAUUAAAACCUUCUUAAAUUUUCAGUUUUAAUAUAAAGUUAAACAAUAUAAAGUUAAAAAUCUUAAUUAUGGAGUGUAACUUACCUUUUAAAUGCAUUAAUUGUGGGUGGUAGGGCAUAAGCCUUCAUGUUCAUAGGUUAAUUAUAAAAAUUGAAUGUGUGUGUGUGUGUGUGUGUGUGUGUGUGUGUGUGUAUAUAUAUAUAUAACAAGACAAAAUGAGAUUUCCUGGUGGAAGCAAAUUAAUAUUUUAGUUUGUGAAACAGAUAGUCAAGUGAUGUUACUAGGUAAUGUAAGAAAGCCAUGGUUGUAUUGAAAAAAUAAAAUAAAAUAAAAAUGACUGAACUAGAGUGUAAUGGAGCAAAACUAAUUUAUUGGUUCAGACAUUCAAGCCGUUUUGAAUUCAGGAAUGUAAAUUGUUACUAUACAAGAGCUACAUAUCAUAAGUGCAAAGAUAUAUGGGUAUAUUAUUUGUUAUCAAUUUAAGUAUAUAUAGCGUGUAUAAUAAGAAAGGAUGUCUGAAGCUUUAUUUCAUGAAUUUUGCACAAUGAGUUCAAGAACUUCAUGUCAUAAUUCAUGUCAUUAGAAAGGAUGUCUGAAGCUUUAUUUCAUGAAUUUUGCACAAUGAAUUCAAGAACUUCAUAUCAUAAUUCAUGUCAUGCAUUUAAAGGAUCGUAAACUGUUAAGUAGUUGUGCAAUAGUUCAUAUUAUGAAACAUGAAACUAAGAUCUCAUGUGAGUUCUAUCUAUGACUAUUUUAUUGUAAUGAUAUUGACGUUUUGUGCAAUUUGAAGAUUGGAUAUAUAAUCUCUACCAAACAAGAGCUAUAUUGUUGCUUGUUUUAGGAGAUUAUUCUUUAGCUUUAUGACUAAUAUUUUGCGAAUGUGUUUAAGGAAAAGUUACAAAAUAUUUGGUUUGAUAAACACGUGCACCAACCAUCUCCUCACAACAUGUGAUCUUAACAAAUAAAUGAUUUGUAAGAUCAUAUAUUUACCAAGAAAAGAUUGAUAUCUUUGAAAUGUGGGGGUAUUAAAAAUAUUGGAUAUCUGUGUGCUUUAUCCAUAAUUAUCCAUAAUUAUUUUGGAAUUGACACAUUUAUCAAAAUGUUCACAUUAAAUAUGAAGUUUGCAGCUGAUAUGCAAGAGUUCAAUGGAUUCAUCUGCUCGAUCGUAUUACUAAAAUCAAUAUUAAAAUUCGUAUAUUUAUCUUAUUAAACUUAGAUAUGUGAUAUUCAUAUUUUGGAAAUUUUAGAAGAUUUUGCAGAUUUACAGGUGAAGAAUAAAAGUUUUACAAAUUGAUGAUACCAAAUUAUUGUUUAAGAGGGACAUGAAUAUAUGUAGUCCGAGAUGGACAUACAUAAAUCAUCGAGGGGGAUGGGUUUAAGCCCAUAAGGAAGUCACCUCCGGGAGUAACCCAACCUUUGUGAUUGGAGAUCCCAUGAAGAAGGUUCAAUGUAGUAGAAACAAUCCGUAUUGCGUGACUUGUAAUAGCACUAUUUAUAUUGUGCUCAUCCCUAUGGUGAUAGUGCUAAUGAUAAUGUAAUGUUAGGGAGGGUUUAACCCUGAAUGAGUACCGAAGCGAGAAUUCUCGCGAAGUGUGGGUCACACACACUCUUAGAGGACUCACCUAUGUAAGAGUUGUCAUGAGACCGUGGCUAUGAGAUUGGGCUAUUCUCUAGAGACUCUUACUAGAAUCAAGAUUAGAGUGCAUGGCCAUUAAAAGCACUAACCGUUAUGAACUAGAGCCUAAAUCAAUACUGUGUGUGGAGCAAUUGAAAUUUGAUCAAAGGGAUCGAAUUCAAGACUUAGUCCAUUAUGAUUCCCUCAAAUGGAAAUUGUUAUCACUAAGCGAGGUUCAAGUCCAAAAGACAUCUACACCUAUUGCACAGUAUUAUGUUGCCGCUAUUAUAUAUUUUUUAAUUAUUUUGAAAGCUUAAAACUUGUGGGGGAUUGUUGGAAACUAUAUUAAGUUUCAACUUUCAAAAUUAUUAUAUUUUUAAUUUUCAGUUUUGGGUUUAAUUAAAAUCUUAAUUUAUAUUAUAACAUAAAAUUAAAUAUUUAAAUGGAGGUUAUGGAUUGAUUAAUUCUCAUUAGUAUGGGGGUUAAAUUGUACAUUAUAUAAAGGAAGGAAAAUCACAAUUUGAGAUACAAUUUGAAAAACACAACUUGAUAUGAUUGAUUCCAAAAUUAUUCUCUAUAAUUUUACCCCAUACUAUAUCGGCAACUAGAUAAAGGCUCAUUUUUUAUCUCCUUAUGGUCGUGCCCAUAGAAGAAGAGUCACAUGAGUUUUACCUUGGAAUCGUGUAGUACCGAAAGAACCUGCACGAAGGGGAGGCAACACAACUUUAGGACAACGUUGUCAACUUGACUCCCAAUGUUUGAUUUUCUAACCCUAUUAUUAUUUUAUAUUAUUGUUGAAUUAUGUUUACGUCUAAUUGAUUAUAUGAUUAUGCUAAUUUCUAAAUAAAUCUACAUACGAAUCACCCAAUUUUCCCAACAGGGAUUCGGGUGGGUUUAUCGACUUGAGAACAUGUUGUAUAAAAAAAAUCCAUCAUACUUGAAUAAAGGUAUUAGAGGUGAUUGAACAUUUUAUCUUAAAAAUUAUAACUAGACAACUCGAUCUUGGUUUCAAGAACGCAAGUAAUUUUUUUCCCUUAAUAAGUAGGCAUUUAAGCAUCACAAUAAACACAAGAAAUGUGAUUCAAUUGAAAGAACAAAAAAGAACCAACGUGUAAUUUUUUUUGACCAACUCGAGUUGAAUUUUUACUUCAUUUAUCAUGUGCAUUUUGUAUUUACUGAACAAGACACCAUUUUUUCAAUGCAUAUUUCAAAGUUGUGUUGAUUAUUUUGUAUCAGAAAUUUCAUUAAAAUUGCUCAAUAUCCCUCAUUAUGAAUGGCUAAGUUGAAAAGUUUUAAAGUUAAGUGAUCAAAUUGAAGAUUUUGAAAGUUGGAUAACCAACAAGCACUACAAAACAAAUAUGUAAUUUUGAACGUUGCAAAAAAUCUGAAAUAUGUAGUUUUGUUUUUGUAAGAAUCAGGUGAAAGUCGCAGAGGUUGACUAUAUCAACAUUCAUUAAAAUUAUGGUUGCAAAUCUCAAUUUUGUUAACUAAAAAAACAUACACUCAGUAACUACUGUGAUAGAUCUCUUUCGACAGUAGUCGUUGAAUGAAUGUUACCAUUUACAUGUUGGAAAAUGUCAUUUUCUUUAUAGUGAAGGUAUCUCUCUUUACCCUCAAAAUUAUGAAUCAAGUAAAGUUGAAUUAAAUACGAUUUUAUCCUCCUCAAUUCACUAAUCGUUUUCUUCCUUGCACGCCUAUGUCCAAAUCGAAUAACAUGUUGGAUGAUCCUCUUUAAAAUUAGUUAUGCUUUUGGCCCAAAUUGAGAUGAGAUAAUCAAUAAUUAGUGUCAAGCUCUCCAAAAUUCAGAUUCUUUUUUCAUCCGAAAGAAAGUCAUCCUCAAUCGCCUGAGGACUUGGUGAAAUAAGAGCACCUUUGAUCCCUUGACCUAAUAUUUCUUAAUCAUAUACUUUAAGUGGGACUACCUUUUUUUCCUUCACCAAUUUUAGUUCGAAAGACAUGUGAAGUAAGAAUUAUCCUUUUUUUUUUCUUGAAAAAGUCACAAUGAACGAGAAUUAAUCGUCAUGAAUUACAAUGAUUAACCUAAUUAAGAGUCUCUCAAUUCCAACUUUCUCUCUCUAAUCAUCCUUGGAAUUCCCUUUGUCUACCUCUCUCACUCAUCAAACCUUCUCAAUCCCCCCGCCCAACCAUCAUAUGUAUUUAUACAUACACCCAAAGCGAUCACACAUCAUCAAGAAUUAUACAUGCUGUUUAGAUUUUCCUUCGAAUGAAUGAAGAGGAAAUCAUUAUACCAAAUUCCAACCCACAAAUAUUGAUUUUGUA
RNAcentral lists this long non-coding RNA (40822 nucleotides) under Olea europaea (common olive). Its description in RNAcentral is "long non-coding RNA (OEUR_LNC007392)". Lineage: Eukaryota; Viridiplantae; Streptophyta; Magnoliopsida; Lamiales; Oleaceae. The record is from RNAcentral.